GAUGAAGAACGUAGUGAAAUGCGAUAAGUAAUGUGAAUUGCAGAAUCCAGUGAAUCAUCGAAUCUUUGAACGCACAUUGCGCCCGCCAGCAUUCUGGCGGGCAUGCCUGUUCGAGCGUCAUUUCAACCCUCGACCUCCCCUUGGGGAGGUCGGCGUUGGGGACCGGCAGCACACCGCCGGCCCUGAAAUGGAGUGGCGGCCCGUCUGCGGCGACCUCUGCGUAGUAAUACAGCUCGCACCGGAACCCCGACGCGGCCACGCCGUAAAACACCCAACUUCUGAACGUUGACCUCGAAUCAGGUAGGACUACCCGCUGAACUUAAGCGUAUCAAUAAGCGGAGGA
Molecule: unclassified non-coding RNA, 343 nt
Filed under: soil metagenome
Description: partial contains 5.8S ribosomal RNA, internal transcribed spacer 2, and large subunit ribosomal RNA
Rfam family: 5.8S ribosomal RNA (bases 1-120)
Source: RNAcentral